UUCGAACGCACCUUGCGGCCCCGGGUUCCUCCCGGGGCUACGCCUGUCUGAGAGUCGC
This 58-nucleotide ribosomal RNA is filed under the name Micromesistius poutassou (blue whiting). RNAcentral describes it as "5.8S ribosomal RNA". It matches the Rfam family "5.8S ribosomal RNA", at positions 99 to 154 of the family's 154-position model. From Rfam's summary of the family: 5.8S ribosomal RNA (5.8S rRNA) is a component of the large subunit of the eukaryotic ribosome. Lineage: Eukaryota; Metazoa; Chordata; Actinopteri; Gadiformes; Gadidae. The record is from RNAcentral.